Molecule: ribosomal RNA, 253 nt
Filed under: uncultured bacterium
Lineage: Bacteria
Description: partial 16S ribosomal RNA
Rfam family: Bacterial small subunit ribosomal RNA
Source: RNAcentral
UACGUAGGGUGCAAGCGUUGUCCGGAAUUAUUGGGCGUAAAGAGCUCGUAGGCGGCUGUUCAAGUCGAACGUGAAAACUCGGAGCUCAACUCCGAGCCUGCGUUCGAUACUGGACGGCUAGAGUCUGGUAGGGGGAUCUGGAAUUCCUGGUGUAGCGGUGGAAUGCGCAGAUAUCAGGAGGAACACCGGUGGCGAAGGCGGGAUCCUGGGCCAGUACUGACGCUGAGGAGCGAAAGCCAGGGGAGCAAACGGG